RNAcentral lists this ribosomal RNA (326 nucleotides) under uncultured Cercozoa. RNAcentral describes it as "SSU rRNA". The stretch from base 113 to 326 matches the Rfam family "Eukaryotic small subunit ribosomal RNA", at positions 740 to 955 of the family's 1831-position model. Lineage: Eukaryota; Cercozoa. The record is from RNAcentral.
GAUUUCUGGCUUGGUGUGUCUGACCCGCCACGGUUACGUGUGUGAGUGUUGGUACGUACCUGCCAUCCUUGUAGAGAACCAUUCUACCCUUCAUUGGGCCGGGAUGGAUCUUUCUCUACAUCUUUUACUUUGAAAAAAUUAGAGUGUUUAAAGCAGGCUUAUGCUAUGAAUACAUUAGCAUGGAAUAAUAAUUUAGGACUUUGGUUCUAUUUUGUUGGUUUCUAGGACUGAAGUAAUGAUUGAUAGGGAUAGUUGGGGGUGCUAGUAUUCCGCGGCCAGAGGUGAAAUUCUUGGAUUCGCGGAAGACUAACUACUGCGAAAGCAUU